AGGAGGUCCUGUUAACCUAGAGGAAAGGAUAUACACAGGAGGUCCUGUUAACCUAGUUGGGAAGGGAUAUACACAGGAGGUCCUGCUAACCAAGAGGAAGGGAUAUACACAGGAGGUCCUGUUAACCUAGAGGAAGGGAUAUACACAGGAGGUCCUGUUAACCAAGAGGAAGGGAUAUACACAGGAGGUCCUGUUAACCUAGAGGAAGGGAUAUACACAGGAGGUCCUGC
This 230-nucleotide long non-coding RNA is filed under the name Oncorhynchus mykiss (rainbow trout). RNAcentral's name for it is "lncRNA (ENSOMYG00000059891.1)". The record is from RNAcentral. Lineage: Eukaryota; Metazoa; Chordata; Actinopteri; Salmoniformes; Salmonidae.